This is a long non-coding RNA of Cryptotermes secundus, 2704 nucleotides long. RefSeq lists it as uncharacterized. The record is from RefSeq and is a predicted model, not a curated record. The transcript has 3 exons. Lineage: Eukaryota; Metazoa; Arthropoda; Insecta; Blattodea; Kalotermitidae.
UUAGCCUUCUAUAUUUGGGUGAAACCAACAAUAUGUCAGAUUCUAUAAAAAUACAAUAAUUUGGGGUUACGUGAUAGCCGUUAUGGCCGUUAUAAGGGUUUUGAGCGUUUUGAGCGACCCGUGGUCAGUAACAGCUCGGAUCGCCCGGAUCAGAUAAACACGAACAGUGCCACAGAGAGGUUAGGUUAAACUGCAGUGGAGAGUGUAGUGUUGCACAAAAAUUACAGACAGUGGACGGAAUCGCGGUUGACUUGGUUAAGAUACUCUCAUAUUUGAAGUCUUCCCAACAUUCGGUAACUGGCAAUGUGGUUUAGAGCGUUUAGAGGACUCUAGCCCAGUGUGGUGCGGCAAUUGAAGGAUGAAUGUGGUGAGAUUUUAACAGUUCCAAUACAGAAGAAUGUAAGCUUGCUGGACCUGAAAAUCGUUGAACUGUGAACCAUCAUUAUAGUGAAGAGUGUUGUUAUUAUCAAUAUAUGGAUUGGAGUGAAAUUCCUGUUUGGCUUAUUGGAGUGGUGCCUCAGUUGGAAAAGCAUGAUUACUCAAUGCAGUCCAUGGGAUAAACCUGCUUGGACUUAAUCAGAGGUGACAUUGAGGAGGGGAUAGGUAAUAACAAGCCAUUACGGGUAUGUAAAGACAGUUAAGUAAAUUGUUCUUAUUAUCUGAAUUAUUACAGAAAGAUUGUACUCUUUGCAGUUUGAAACUUCUGUAGAAUUUGUAUGAAGUUUUCCCACUGUAGCCUGCCAAGUUUAAAAUUUGAAUCUGCAAGAAUCUGUUAUGGGUGAGUGUAAAAAUAAGUUUAAAAUAUGCUAAAAGUAUAUAUCAUUAUUUUUUAUUUUCACUGUUCAUUGUAAAUUGAUCUUCACAGAUUAUACAAAUAACAUCUAACAUAAUUUUUAUUGUGUAUUGUUAUAACUACCAACUUUAUAUGCUUUCAGAAAUGACAUAAAUUCAGCACCACAGAUACAUAAAUGGCUUUGCAUUUCUGUAUAAUGAAAUGUGUCAUGUUUCCACUUUCUAGCAUUAGACCUUUAACUGCCAUGUUCAAGAAUUCUUUGGUUGACUGUGACAUUCAUGGAUUGUCAGUCCUAAGUGUACUCUCUUUGAACUUGGUAUUGUAGUACUCAUUUUUGUUUCUAAUUCUGUUGUGAGUGAUCAAUAAAGUAUCUUCAUUGAAGCAUAUUGUGGCUCUUCAUUCAUUUAUUCAAACCAUUAUCCUUGUAAUAUUUUGGUAUUUUUGUCUGUAAAUAUGUAACAGAAACAUUAUCACUGUUUGUUCUUAGACUGAAUUUAAAAAAAAAACAGUAGUCAUGAUUUCUGCGUUUGUUAGUAAAUGGUAAAUGCACUAAAUAUCUUUUAGUGAAAAUGUUAUUUGGGUAUGAAGGGACCUUGUCUUUUAUUGUGUGCAUGUUUCAUCUGCCAUACUUCAUAACAGGUUUCAGAUAAACUAUUUUCAGAAGCCUGCACCGAAAAUUGUUGGGUUGAUUCAUGUCUAUUCAUAUUUGUCCAUUAGAACCACUUCUUGGACCACUUAGCAGUGGGAUAAUACUUCGGAACCCUGUUUGAGACAUGUGUGUCUGCAGUUUACUGUCCUUUGCUGUCCUGUGUGUGUAUGUGCAUUGUGAUGGGACAGUCCACCAUCCAAGGAGACCUGCCAACUCUGAAUGACUUUUUGAAUUAAUUCUGCAUCUGAGUUUGCCUAGUCCGUGAAUAAUAAAGAUGUAGAAGGUGACUGGCUACUUUGUUUGAAGUGACAUAUUUUGGUUAUUCUUUGUUAAUUAAUAAUGGUAAUCAAAAAUAUUUUAAGUAGAAGGACAGAAUUAAAGAAAGAUACACUUAACAUUAAUGUAGAACACAUUUUAAAUUCCAGUUACUGCUUUCCAGAAUAGUACUGGCUUAUGAUUCUGUCUUGAGUGUUCUGCACAAAUGAUGAGUGUAAAUGAAAUUUCUUAUGGAUAUGAAUUAAUUAUUGGUGAAAAUAACAGCACUCAAUCAUUCCCGUCACAAUCAUUAGUUCAGUUAUGGUAGUCAUAAUUUGCAGAUUUAAUUACUAUUAUCAUGCCACAUGUUAUUAAUAAAAUCAAACUUAUAUGCGCAUGGUAAAAAAAUCCAGUAUUGCAUCACAGAUGCAGAUUAAAUGCAUGGCAGUUAGAAGGUUAAUGAGUUAAACUUCUUAAAAAAUAUAACAAGGACAAGAAAUUAGAAGAACCACUGGAGGUAGACAAAUAUUUCAACAGUGUACCAAUUAUAACAACUAUACACAUAAUUUAAACUAAAAAUUACAAUCACGUAGUCCCCCAUUUUAACAAAAAAUUAAAAAACAGCACAUUAUGACCACCAUGUAGGCUACUUUUUAUAUAUUUAUAUCUACAUAUUAUAUAUACGUUAUAAAUUUUAAUAAAUCUCUAUUUUUGCAAAUAUUUAUUCAUAUAGUCAACCCCUACACAUACACAAUUUUAUGACAUUGAAAAAUGAAUCCAUUUUCAUCAUGUAAUUCAGCAUAAAUGUUAUAUAUUUAAUUGCUUUUAUUCUUACACACCUGAUGAUGGUCAGAAGAGAUCCAAACAUAGUGUGAUUAAUAUUGUAGCGUGUUGUGUGUGUUACAAUAUAAUAAACUGAUCCAGUUAGUGGUUUCACAUAAUAUCAUUUUAUUAUACAAUAAUCAAAAUGUAGCUUGAUAGUACUAAAAGUUUAUAUUCUUAAAAUA